This 479-nucleotide ribosomal RNA is filed under the name uncultured bacterium. RNAcentral describes it as "bacterial SSU rRNA". It matches the Rfam family "Bacterial small subunit ribosomal RNA", at positions 28 to 507 of the family's 1533-position model. The record is from RNAcentral.
GAUGAACGUUGGCGGUGUGCCUAAUACAUGCAAGUCGAACGGAGACUGUAGCAAUACUGUCUUAGUGGCGAACGGGUGAGUAACGCGUUGGUGAUCUGCCUCGAAGUGUGGAAUAACCUCCCGAAAGGGAAGCUAAUACCGCAUAGUCUCUCAAGGUUUAGAAAAUUGAGAGUAAAGGAUUUAUUCGCUUCGAGAGGAGCCUGCGUCCCAUCAGCUAGUUGGUAGGGUAACGGCCUACCAAGGCAAUGACGGGUAGGGGACCUGAGAGGGUGGCCCCCCACAAUGGAACUGAAACACGGUCCAUACACCUACGGGUGGCAGCAGUAGGGAAUAUUGGUCAAUGGGCGGAAGCCUGAACCAGCCAUCCCGCGUGAAGGAAGACAGCCUUACGGGUUGUAAACUUCUUUUCUGUCAGAAGAAUAAGCUUGUCGAGACGAGUGAUGCCGGUAUGACAGGAAUAAGCAUCGGCUAACUCCGUG